UGUGUUUUGUUUUGGUUUGUGGGUUGCUGUUCUGUAGUAGAAUUUUCUGGUUUUGGGGUAUGGCAGCUGAAGAUGAGUCGGAUUACUAGUCUCGUAUCAGGUGUUUCUCUCAUUCCUCCCAAUUCAUUACCUCGGAGUGGUAGUAUUUUAGCUCAAAGUACUGGUUUUUAACUUUUAUUAUAAUUCUUUUGCUCACAUAUUUUGAUUGAACUAGCAUCAGAAAACUACUAUUUUUUAUUUGAGAUANNNNNNNNNNNNNNNNNNNNNNNNNNNNNNNNUGGAAUAUUGGUUAAGAAUGAAUCUUUUAUGUUCUAAUGUUAAAUGGUAAUCAGUGCAUAAUUCUUGUUAUUUUAUACCUUAGGUUGGUUUCAAUUCUUUGCUUUUGAUCCAUACUUUCAACCUCUUCUAUGACAUCUUUGUCAUUGACACACAAUCAGACACUACUCAGUUAUAAUGCUAUUGUUUAUUUACGAUUUCUGAAGAACUUGAAAGUACAUGAGUAUAUAGGACAAUUGUUUUAGUCCACUUUUUCAAAGGAUUCUGCAAAACCUUUCAUCUGUCAAUGUCCAUUAACUGCUAUAAAAUUGGCUGGCUAGUACUUCCAAUUCCUCUAUACCUCCAUGGGCUAUAGGGUAAGUAAGUUAUGUUCUUUUUCUUGUGUUGAUUUUAAUGUUAGAGGUUUUAGUUAUAAGCAUAUGUGAUAACUUGAAUCACUUUAAAUUAACGUUAAGAAGCUACAUCUAGAGGGAAGAUU
Molecule: long non-coding RNA, 754 nt
Filed under: Trifolium pratense (red clover)
Lineage: Eukaryota; Viridiplantae; Streptophyta; Magnoliopsida; Fabales; Fabaceae
Description: long non-coding RNA (TPRA_LNC009148)
Source: RNAcentral